Long non-coding RNA from Nycticebus coucang (slow loris), 619 nucleotides. RefSeq lists it as uncharacterized. NCBI's taxonomy places the organism in Eukaryota, Metazoa, Chordata, Mammalia, Primates, Lorisidae. The transcript is spliced from 3 exons. The record is from RefSeq and is a predicted model, not a curated record.
GGUUCAUAAGCCACUGAGUUACAAUCACGGAUCCAUGUGGAGGAAAGGGGAAUAGGAAGAAAAAUGUAUUUUGUUAAAGAACUACAUCAGCGAAUCAAGAAGGUGCUUCUGAGAAUGCGACACAAGGGGAGCAGGGCAGAGGAUCCACGGUCAAAGAUGUCAGCCUCCCCAGUUUGUUCUUUGGCCGUCAUCAUUUCACUCCUCUAAAUCCUAAAGCUUUUUGGUUUGGGUUUUAUUUUGUUUUUACUUUACCACUUUUUCAGAUUUUUAAGUGCCUCUGGCAAGCAUUAAAUUUGCACAUCCGAGUUAUUACAUAACCACUAGAGGAUUAAUUGCUAGAGAGCGGAAAGCUAGAUUCUAGAACCAUGAGAUAACCGGUCAGACGUAUCUGACCGGAAAGAUCCAAAACAUGUGUUCAGAUGACUUGGACCAAAGUCUUGGCUGCACUACUUUCUUUGAGCUUUGGUUUCCUAAUCUUUGAAGGGGCAUUGAUUAUAAUACUUUUCCCUAUCUAUCUCAUGAAGAUGUAUAACAUGUCCCUGUAAUUAAUACUCAUACAUACUACUGUGUUCCUUAGUGCUUGUGUGGGUCAGAGUCGGGAAGGUGAAUAAAAAGCAAA